This 446-nucleotide ribosomal RNA is filed under the name uncultured bacterium. RNAcentral's name for it is "partial 16S ribosomal RNA". It matches the Rfam family "Bacterial small subunit ribosomal RNA", at positions 338 to 795 of the family's 1533-position model. The record is from RNAcentral.
CCUACGGGAGGCUGCAGUCGAGAAUCAUUCACAAUGGGGGAAACCCUGAUGGUGCGACGCCGCGUGGGGGAAUGAAGGUCUUCGGAUUGUAAACCCCUGUCAUGUGGGAGCAAAUUAAAAAGAUAGUACCACAAGAGGAAGAGACGGCUAACUCUGUGCCAGCAGCCGCGGUAAUACAGAGGUCUCAAGCGUUGUUCGGAAUCACUGGGCGUAAAGCGUGCGUAGGCUGUUUCGUAAGUCGUGUGUGAAAGGCGCGGGCUCAACCCGCGGACGGCACAUGAUACUGCGAGACUAGAGUAAGGGAGGGGGAACCGGAAUUCUCGGUGUAGCAGUGAAAUGCGUAGAUAUCGAGAGGAACACUCGUGGCGAAGGCGAGUUCCUGGACAUUAACUGACGCUGAGGCACGAAGGCCAGGGGAGCGAAAGGGAUUAGAUACCCCAGUAGUC